AGGGAAGGGAAGGUUAGGGAAGGGAAGGUUAGGGAAGGGAAUGUAAGGAAAUGGAAGGGAAAGUUAGGGAAGGGAAGGAAAGGGAAGGGAAGGUUAGGGAAGGGAAGGUUAGGGAAGGGAAUGUAAGGAAAUGGAAGGGAAAGUUAGGGAAGGGAAGGAAAGGGAAGGGAAGGUUAGGGAAGGGAAGGUUAGGGAAGGGAAUGUAAGGAAAUGGAAGGGAAAGUUAGGGAAGGGAAGGAAAGGGAAGGGAAGGUUAGGGAAGGUUAGGGAAGGGAAGGAAAGGGAAGGGAAGGUUAGGGAAGGGAAGGUUAGGGAAGGGAAUGUAAGGAAAUGGAAGGG
This is a long non-coding RNA of Eriocheir sinensis (Chinese mitten crab), 339 nucleotides long. RefSeq lists it as uncharacterized. The transcript has 4 exons. NCBI's taxonomy places the organism in Eukaryota, Metazoa, Arthropoda, Malacostraca, Decapoda, Varunidae. The record is from RefSeq and is a predicted model, not a curated record.